Molecule: ribosomal RNA, 120 nt
Filed under: Castor canadensis (American beaver)
Lineage: Eukaryota; Metazoa; Chordata; Mammalia; Rodentia; Castoridae
Source: RNAcentral
GUCUACAGUCAUACCACCCUAAACAUGCUCAAUCUCAUCUGGUCUCAGAAGCUAAACAGGGUUGGGUCUGAUUAGUAUUUGGAUGGAAGACAAAUCUUCAAAACAGACUACUCAGAGACA